RNAcentral lists this long non-coding RNA (355 nucleotides) under Setaria italica (foxtail millet). RNAcentral describes it as "long non-coding RNA (SITA_LNC003425)". The record is from RNAcentral. Lineage: Eukaryota; Viridiplantae; Streptophyta; Magnoliopsida; Poales; Poaceae.
GGCUUGCUGCCGAAGAGCUAAAAACUUCAAAACACAGGAGAGGAAUGAUAGUCCGGUUGGUGAUUGCUGCAACCAUCUUCGCCGCUUUGUCUCUGUUUGCAAUUAUUUGCAUGUUUUUCAGGAGACGGAAAAGGCAGCAUUCAUCUAUGGAACCAAGCAACAUCAGAGGAGGAAUCAUGGCUUUUGGAUACAAAGAUUUGCAACAUGCAACAAAAAACUUCUCAGAAAAAUUAGGAGGUGGUAGUUUUGGAUCUGUGUUUAAGGGUGUUUUACCUGACUCAACUGUCAUUGCAGUUAAAAGACUUGAUGGUGCUCGUCAAGGAGAGAAGGAAUUCAGGGCAGAAGUGAGUUCGAU